GGAACUCCCUGACCCCUUGCGCUUUCUGAGUGAGGCAGUGCCUCGCCCUGCUUCGGCUCGCACACGGUGCGCGCACCCACUGACCUGCGCCCACUGUCUGGCACUCCCUAGUGAGAUGAACCCGGUACCUCAGAUGGAAAUGCAGAAAUCACCCGUCUUCUGCGUCGCUCACGGUGGGAGCUGUAGACUGGAGCUGUUCCUAUUCGGCCAUCUUGGCUCCUCCGCAUUUGUUUUUAUGGUGGGUUUUGUAUUGUUUUUAUAGAGCUGCCCUCACAUGCUUCAGCAACAUUAGAUGGUCUGGAGACUGGAAAGUCCAAGAUCAUGGUGCCUGAGGAUUCAGUGUCUGGUGGACCCUAUUUAAUGUGGGAGAGGAAUACAUAAAAAGGUGGAUAUCAUGAGGUGAAAAUCAUUGGAGACCAUCUUGGAAGCUGUCUAACGCAACAAGAAUUAUUUUAUUUAUGAUUUAUUUGAAGUCUUUUUUUAUUUAUAAUCUGUUUUACUUGGAAUGAUUGGUUAUCAGACUCAGCACGUUUUCAAAUCUGUAUAACAGAUGCUAUCUUGUUUGUCAUUAGGUAAGUUCACCUGAAACCCUCAGGCAAGCCUUUCAGAACUAAUGCCUGUUGUAAUUCCCUUAUUUCUUAUGUGAUUUAAAUUGUGAAAAGCCCAUAUUUCUUUUGAAAAAUCAUUGCUUGUCUUUUGUCUCUGAUGUUAGCAUGUUUUCAGGCAAUGUUUUUGAAGUUAAAUAUAUUUGUUGUUUAGAGAUGACUUUUCUCUGCCCUUUUAUUUUACAUACAAGGGUACUAGUAUCCAGAGAGGUCAAGUGGCUAAGGAUGCAAAAUUUGUAAUAAAAUUUAGGUUUUCUGAAUCUUAUUACAGGAGAAGAAGAAAAGAUCAACAGACAUAAAAUUUCAGAAUGAUUGACAGUCUUUAAAAUUGUAUGUA
Molecule: long non-coding RNA, 942 nt
Filed under: Homo sapiens (human)
Lineage: Eukaryota; Metazoa; Chordata; Mammalia; Primates; Hominidae
Description: HSALNT0209981
Source: RNAcentral